ACUACGGGAGGCAGCAGUGAGGAAUAUUGGUCAAUGGGCGCGAGCCUGAACCAGCCAAGUAGCGUGAAGGAUGACUGCCCUACGGGUUGUAAACUUCUUUUAUAAAGGAAUAAAAUGAGGCACGUGUGCCUUUUUGUAUGUACUUUAUGAAUAAGGAUCGGCUAACUCCGUGCCAGCAGCCGCGGUAAUACGAAGGAUCCGAGCGUUAUCCGGAUUUAUUGGGUUUAAAGGGAGCGUAGAUGGGUUGUUAAGUCAGUUGUGAAAGUUUGCGGCUCAAACGUAAAAUUGCAAUUGAUACUGGCAGUCUUGAGUACAGUUGAGGUAGGCGGAAUUCGUGGUGUAGCGGUGAAAUGCUUAGAUAUCACGAAGAACCCCGAUUGCGAAGGCAGCUUACUAAACUGUCACUGACAUUGAUGCUCGAAAGUGUGGGUAUCAAACAGGAUUAGAUACCCUAGUAGUC
Molecule: ribosomal RNA, 460 nt
Filed under: uncultured bacterium
Lineage: Bacteria
Description: partial 16S ribosomal RNA
Rfam family: Bacterial small subunit ribosomal RNA
Source: RNAcentral